GGUACUCCCGUCUCGGUGAACCAGCGGAGGGAUCAUUA
Molecule: ribosomal RNA, 38 nt
Filed under: Fusarium brachygibbosum
Lineage: Eukaryota; Fungi; Ascomycota; Sordariomycetes; Hypocreales; Nectriaceae
Description: partial 18S ribosomal RNA
Source: RNAcentral